AACAUGACUUUGAUCUGCGUCCUCAUCUGGACUCUCCUCUGCUGCUGCUUCACAGAGUCCAGAGGACAAUACACAGUGACUCAGCCUGGAGCAGUGAGCUCUGCUGUGGGACGAUCUGUGACCAUCAACUGUAGGACCAGUCAUAGGGUAGAUGAAGGUGAUGACAUGUCCUGGUACCAACAGAAAGAUGGAAAAGCUCCCAAAAUGUUUGUUUAUAAUUCUAACAGUCGAGCAUCAGGGAUUCCAGAUCGUUUUACAGGCAGUGGAUCAAACACCGACUUCACUCUGACCAUCAGUGGAGUCCAGGCUGAAGAUGCAGCAGUUUAUUAUUGCAUGGGUGAAUUCUAUGUGAACAGUCAGUAUUCGUUCACACAGUGA
Non-coding RNA from Archocentrus centrarchus (flier cichlid), 378 nucleotides. NCBI's taxonomy places the organism in Eukaryota, Metazoa, Chordata, Actinopteri, Cichliformes, Cichlidae. The record is from the annotation of a RefSeq genome assembly.